GAUCCUGAAACUACUGUAGCUGAACAGAUAAAAUCUCUGCCACUCUCUCAGCUAGCGAUCCUAUAUCAAUAUCUCCCAAUCUAGAAGUAGGCACGGUACAGCUUAAUGGGGGUACUUUGAUCAAGGGUCCUGUCUCAAGCUCUGAAACAUGGUGGUUUGCUGGGCUCGGCCUAGGCACAGGAGAAGAAAGACCCUCCCUCUUAGAAUGCUCCUCAUCCUCAUCACUAUCCUCCUCUGCAACAUGACUCUUGGCCCAC
RNAcentral lists this long non-coding RNA (257 nucleotides) under Elaeis guineensis (African oil palm). RNAcentral describes it as "long non-coding RNA (EGUI_LNC022963)". Lineage: Eukaryota; Viridiplantae; Streptophyta; Magnoliopsida; Arecales; Arecaceae. The record is from RNAcentral.